UUUAUGUGCCAACACCUCCAGAGCUUUGCCUUCAUAAGAAGGGAUCUCAGCAGGUUCCUGCUGCAGGCGAAGAUAUGGGGAUGAAACUGUGAGGCGGCUGCCAUGGCAGCAGGGAGAAGAUGUGAAGGAGGUGGAGGGCAGGAUCUGGGAAUCAGAAAGCCUUCAAAGCUGUGUCACUAGGAGAUGUAAUUCAUCUGUGCCCAUAAAUUCCCCUUUGACACGAAGCGCUCAACACAUGCACAGCACUGCCAGGAAAGCACAGAGGCAAGGAGUAAUGGAUGACGUGACCAGCAAGCACAGCAUUUGCGAGCCAGAGUGAUGAAAGGUGACAAAGUUAGCUGUGUCAGGUGAAGGGUGUUUUAGUUGAGAGCUCCCAACACUCCCAUCAGCAGAACUGCAGCAUGGCCAGCGUUUGUCAAGGUGAUCUCUAGAAAGCAAAUUGCAAGCUCCAGCCAAGGCCAUCACAGGAACUGAAGCAUCUUGUUGCCUCAUUCUCUGUAUUACAUCCUACUGUUCUUCGCCCACAGACAGCACCUCGGGCAUCUCUACGUGGUGCCAAGCAGUUUAAAUAAACAGGAAAGUCUCCAAACAUAGUCCGGGGAUUUCUAGUACGCUACGAUUUUCAUCCCACAGCCAGUAUUCAACAGAAGAAUGGCAUAAUGUUGAGAAUAUUAAAGAAAAAAACAACAAAAAUCUGGAAGAUGAUGUCAAGACGGGAUUCAGAUGGAAUCAAAACAACAUAUGGUUUGGGUUGGGGAAGCAAGGAUGGCUCUUCUCUUGGUGGAGCACAAACACCAGACUGCACGGGCAGAGAAAGCAGCUUGGCAUCACUCAGGCUUUUAGGAACAGGUUGGGCAAACAUGCUGGGAGUGGUCCUAGCCAACGCUGAUCGUGCCUCAGGGCUGAGGGAUGGUGUAGAUGGAUUCUCAAGAUCUUCCCAAGGCUUCCAUGCUGGGAGAGGCACCAACAGCAGCGAUGUUUGCCAGCACCUUUCCCAGCCGUGGCCUGUAGGAAGCUGUCUCCAAAGGAAACAAAAGCAUGAUUUAAUGGCUACUGAAAUGUUGGGGGAGUUGGUUAGUUGAAAUUAAUUCAGUGUCUUUCACCUUUAUACCAGGUUUUAAGCCCACGUUUGGCUGAGAUGCUGACUGCAUCCAGGUAGGCAGUGUUUGCACAGCCCAGACUCCUGACAAACACCAUCUAAAAACCAAAACUGAUCAUUUUCAUCAACAUCUGCACAUUUCAAGGGACAUGGGAGAUGGGGUGCUCUGCCACGCUAAGAUGCUCAACAUUUCUGCACAUACCUAAGGGUAGUGGAGACAUAUUAACCUAUACAUGGAUAAAUGGAUAUUUCCAUCAGUGAUUGCCCAGCCAGGAAAUCACUAUUGAAUUGAUUUGCCUUUCCCAUCAGCAGCAUGGCAAGAUGAUACACAGGAACUGUCUGCAAGCCAGAGAUGUCAGUGCUGUUCUUGGGCUGGAGCCAUGCAGUCUUUUCAUGCUGAGAAUCAGACACAAGGAUCCACUUUGCAAAGAGGCUUGUGCGCUAUGAACAAAAAAUGAUGCGAGCAGCUCAUUUAAAAUAUUUAUAUCAUCUCAAACUACUUGCGUGGCAGAAGCCCAAGAAAGACAAGGGUGCUCAUAAUAGCUGGCACUGAAUGCAUGGUGGGUCAUGCUUACAUGAUCAGCCAGGCUUGCAUAAUUCUAUUUCAUCCUUUUGUAAGAUGCUGGAUUCCAUGGACACAGGCCUCAGCCCCUGGAUUACACCAUGACUGAAAGUGUUGCUUCCCCAGACCUUAUCCCCCUGCUCAGCUGUUUUUCCACUGCUGUUCUCCUAAGCCAGCCUUUCUUAGCUCCCAAAGUUGUACAUCAGUGACCAGCCACUGGCCAAGCUGUGUGCUGUUUAUAGCCCCAAGCCUUCUGUUUUCAGUCUGCAUCCUCACUUCCAAAGCUAUUCCCAAUCAUCCUGUGCUCCAGGUAGCAGAGACACCUGAUACCAAGCUCUGUUUUGCAGCUGUUGAUAACAAGUUUGAUGCUUCAGCCUUGAAAACUUAGCAGAAGGGAAAGUUGCAGAGAGGCCAAUGGCUUCUUACUAUGUCAAUGGCAGUAACAAUAGUGUUUGUGCUGGGAGAGCAGACAGCACACAACCAGGUUGUUAGAGUUUAAGGUGCAGCACAGGCUAGAAACAAGCAGCUCUUGGAGACUCUCCAGUCAGGCUCCACAUGCACUGCAACCUGACCUAGACAGAUUAUUUUUGCUAGCCUGGUAUUAGAGCUGACAUCCUCAUAUCACAAAGAUUAGGUGCUCUAUAAAGGUGUCAUGAGAAGAUUGGAUUAGAGAGAUGCGGGUCAAAGACUUAGGUAAAGGUGCUCUUGGUCCCUUGCAUAGCUCUGGGCUCCAGUCUCGUGUUCUGACUGCAGUAAUUGGCUUUUGGGUUUGAGAAAGAAAGGCCCAAGAGCACUGUAAGGAACU
This is a non-coding RNA of Coturnix japonica (Japanese quail), 2466 nucleotides long. Lineage: Eukaryota; Metazoa; Chordata; Aves; Galliformes; Phasianidae. The record is from RefSeq and is a predicted model, not a curated record.